RNAcentral lists this ribosomal RNA (497 nucleotides) under uncultured bacterium. RNAcentral describes it as "partial 16S ribosomal RNA". It matches the Rfam family "Bacterial small subunit ribosomal RNA", at positions 28 to 507 of the family's 1533-position model. The record is from RNAcentral.
GAUGAACGCUGGCGGCGUGCCUAAUACAUGCAAGUCGAGCGAACAGACGAGGAGCUUGCUCCUCUGACGUUAGCUGCGGACGGGUGAGUAACACGUGGAUAACCUACCUAUAAGACUGGGAUAACUUCGGGAAACCGGAGCUAAUACCGGAUAAUAUAUUGAACCGCAUGGUUCAAUAGUGAAAGACGGUUUUGCUGUCACUUAUAGAUGGAUCCGCGCCGCAUUAGCUAGUUGGUAAGGUAACGGCUUACCAAGGCAACGAUGCGUAGCCGACCUGAGAGGGUGAUCGGCCCCACUGGAACUGAGACACGGUCGAGACUCCUACGGGAGGCAGCAGUAGGGAAUCUUCCGCAAUGGGCGAAAGCCUGACGGAGCAACGCCGCGUGAGUGAUGAAGGUCUUCGGAUCGUAAAACUCUGUUAUUAGGGAAGAACAAAUGUGUAAGUAACUAUGCACGUCUUGACGGUACCUAAUCAGAAAGCCACGGCUAACUACGUG